GAUGAACGCUGGCGGCGUGCCUAAUACAUGCAAGUCGAGCGAACAGACGAGGAUCUUGCUCCUUCGACGUUAGCGGCGGACGGGUGAGUAACACGUAGGUAACCUACCUAUAAGACUGGGAUAACUUCGGGAAACCGGAGCUAAUACCGGAUAAUAUUUCGAACCGCAUGGUUCGAUAGUUAAAGAUGUCUUUUCUAUCACUUAUAGAUGGACCUGCGCCGUAUUAGCUAGUUGGUAAGGUAACGGCUUACCAAGGCAACGAUACGUAGCCGACCUGAGAGGGUGAUCGGCCACACUGGAACUGAGACACGGUCCAGACUCCUACGGGAGGCAGCAGUAGGGAAUCUUCCGCAAAGGGCGAAAGCCUGACGGAGCAACGCCGCGUGAGUGAUGAAGGUCUUCGGAUCGUAAAACUCUGUUAUUAGGGAAGAACAAACGUGUAAGUAACUGUGCACGUCUUGACGGUACCUAAUCAGAAAGCCACGGCUAACUACGUG
RNAcentral lists this ribosomal RNA (497 nucleotides) under uncultured bacterium. RNAcentral describes it as "partial 16S ribosomal RNA". It matches the Rfam family "Bacterial small subunit ribosomal RNA", at positions 28 to 507 of the family's 1533-position model. The record is from RNAcentral.